AACGAACGCUGGCGGCAGGCUUAACACAUGCAAGUCGAACGCCCCGCAAGGGGAGUGGCAGACGGGUGAGUAACGCGUGGGAACAUACCCUUUCCUGCGGAAUAGCUCCGGGAAACUGGAAUUAAUACCGCAUACGCCCUACGGGGGAAAGAUUUAUCGGGGAAGGAUUGGCCCGCGUUGGAUUAGCUAGUUGGUGGGGUAAAGGCCUACCAAGGCGACGAUCCAUAGCUGGUCUGAGAGGAUGAUCAGCCACAUUGGGACUGAGACACGGCCCAAACUCCUACGGGAGGCAGCAGUGGGGAAUAUUGGACAAUGGACGCAACCCUGAUGCAGCCAUGCCGCGUGAGUGAUGAAGGACUUAGGGAUGUAAAGCUCUAUCACCAAUGAAGAUAAUGACGGUAGUCGGCUAAGAAGCACCGGCUAAAUUCGUG
RNAcentral lists this ribosomal RNA (431 nucleotides) under uncultured bacterium. RNAcentral's name for it is "partial 16S ribosomal RNA". It matches the Rfam family "Bacterial small subunit ribosomal RNA", at positions 29 to 507 of the family's 1533-position model. The record is from RNAcentral.